CAGUCGCCGCGGGAAUACGAAGGGGGCUAGCGUUGUUCGGAUUUACUGGGCGUAAAGCGCACGUAGGCGGAUCGAUCAGCCAGGGGUGAAAUCCCAGAGCUCAACUCUGGAACUGCCUUUGAUACAGUCGAUCUGGAGUAUGGAAGAGGUGAGUGGAAUUCCGAGUGUAGAGGUGAAAUCCGUAGAUAUUCGGAAGAACACCAGUGGCGAAGGCGACACACUGGCUCAUUACUGACGCUGAGGCUCGAAAGCGUGGGGAGCAAACAGGAUUAGAUACCCGCGUAGUCCCUGUCUCUUAUAC
Molecule: ribosomal RNA, 301 nt
Filed under: uncultured bacterium
Lineage: Bacteria
Description: partial 16S ribosomal RNA
Rfam family: Bacterial small subunit ribosomal RNA
Source: RNAcentral